RNAcentral lists this long non-coding RNA (2298 nucleotides) under Mus musculus (house mouse). Its description in RNAcentral is "long non-coding RNA chr6:54431913-54434211". Lineage: Eukaryota; Metazoa; Chordata; Mammalia; Rodentia; Muridae. The record is from RNAcentral.
GCCUCGGUUUCAGGCACUUGGGAGUGUGACUUGGUGCUACACUGAGUCAGCAGGCAGCAGAAGGGGCGGAGGAGAGCGCGUGUGUCUAAGAACAUUCAGUUUCAGGAAUGGGAGACAGCCAGCUGGCCCAGCCUGGCAACGCUCUUUUUAGGCGAUUAUUGUUCAGCAACCGUAGAGUACAGGUUGAGAUUUUGCAGUCAUUCCAACACACACACAAAAGGGAUAAUAGAGCCAGAGAGAGAGAGAGAGAGAGAGAGAGAGAGAGAGAGAGAGAGAGCCGCCACAUCAAAUGCAAUUAGCACUGAAGAACAGACAGGGUUUUCACCAGGUAGCCUCAACUUUCCCUGCCUUCUAUGCUUGACAGAUAUAAUAGAUAUCAGUGCUAAAGUUUAAACAUCUAUUAAAGGGCAGGCAAGAUGGCUUAGUGGGUAAAGGAGCUUGUGCCAAGCCUAAAAACUGUAGUUCAACCCUCAGAAUCCACGUGGUGAGAGAAUUGACCCUGCAAAUUGUUUUCUGACCUCCAGAAGUUCAGUGACACACACACACACGCACACACGCACACACACACACACACACGCGCACACACGCACACACGCACACACAUACAAACAAAAAACAAUCAAAAUCAAAACCAAAAAAAUGUAAAAUCAACUUAUAAAACGUAACUUAAUAGAAUAAAUAAAAUGUCUUGUAUGCAUGUGAUAAAUUUUCAGGACAAAGUCACAUUAUAAAGAGUGACAUCCUGGGAAAUUUGCCCUGUUAUAUGACCGAAUGUCCUGCUGUGUCUGCUUUGAGUCCCAAACUUGGAGACAUGGGAACAUGUUUGUUUUACCACACGCUUCUGGCUUCACAUUGAAUGCUUGUCUUCUUAGACUAUGAGGUUUAGGAGUCGAGGACACUGAGCAGGCCUACCAAGAAAUCUGUGUGGGGGUCCCCUGAGCAAUGAGCCUCUCACACAGUUAUCUCCUGGCGAGUUCUGCCCUCUCACGGCGACACUCCCACCAUCUGGCUGCUGAAAUAUUUAGAAAGGAAUUGUAAUAUUUGACUAACUUGGCUCACAGCAUCUGAUAAAACAAACUCGAAGAGGGAACUAGUAAAUCUGAGUUCAGCUGGGUGAGAAAAGGAUUCUUUAGUUCCUUGGCCGCUGCCACAGAGCCGAGGGGCAAUUCAGCUCCCAGGAUGCUCCACAGACACACCACAUGCUCCUCCCUGGCCGCAGCCAGCAAUGCAGUGCAGUUGAAACCUCCCCUUGCUAUUGGGCCUGGCUCUUUCCUUUCUGUGGGGGGCACUGCAGAGGGGCUUUCCCCAUAUCAGGUCUGCAGCCAGACAUUGCAUCAUGAACAACAGCAUUCACACACCAAGGGGCAUACACUGAAACAGAACAGAUGUGGGGGAAAAAAAAAAAAAAAAAAAAAAAAAAACCUCCGUGUGGGUGCCGAGUGAGCCAGACACUGUUGGGAAAUGUUCCGGAGCGUCCCAUCCUUUGUGGGUGAUGGAUUCCAGUGACAGGAUGAAUCUCAGAUGGCGGUACCCAGAAGAGACAGCCAGACCUAUCUUUGGACUGGAAGUUAGAGUCAGCUCCAGGGGUUAGCUGGGAAGAGGCACAGGUGGUUUCAGAUCAGUAUACGCAGCUGUCAGAGGAAGGCACCCAGCCUACUAUGUACUGUUUCUAAUAGCUAAUGGCUAACUCCUGCCGAGGCUAAGCUAAGAGUCUGAGAGAUGCAAAACCAUCCCAAGAGCCCUCCCAGGCAUAAAGAUUUCUAGGUUUAACUUGUGAAGUCAGGAUGCUUCCACUUCAUGCAGAUAGAAACUGAGUACUAGCUGUGUUGUGUAUACUUCAGAACUCAUUGGGUUACGUCUAUCAUUGAUUCUCUGAAUGAUUGUUGGCAAAUCCCCUAAGUUCCGUGCGAUUCAAUUUCUUUCUAUAAAGAUGGGAAUAAUAAAAAGGCCUUAAAUAAUGAUAAGGGUAAAUAGGACUGUGCUGUAUUCAUGGCGAUCCUCAACAAAUUAGGGAUACUUUUGUUACAAUGGAAACCUUGUGCUUUUUUACAAACUAUGGGCUUAACAUGGGCUCCGUUUCACAAAACAAUUUGAGUUUGCCAGAAGUAGGUAGAAAGCAACUGACAAUUCAUAAUGAACUGAGUUAAAAGGAACACACAGAGCAGAACUUGAGAUUACCCCUAAACCUCACAGUCCAUAGAGAUCAGAGAUAAUGUAUACAGCAGGAAUGUUUUCUAAGGUGAAUGCAGUGUUCAGAGGGGAACCAAAGGCUGGUCAGAGCUUCCUGGCAGCCAAAGC